AAUAAUUGAAUGUCUACUAUCAAUUAAAAGAAAUAUUUAAAGUAAAAAAAGUCAAUACAUAAAAUUAUUUGUAACCUAAUAAUCUAAAUUAAAAUAACUCUACAAUUCUAAAAUUACUUCAACACUUAGUGUUUCAUUUUUAACUUUUAGAUGAUAUCUUGUCCACUGAAUGCAAAUUGCCUUCAUUGUCUCUGAUUCCAAUGGUCUUGGAUUAGUAAAAUACUGCAUGAUAUAAUGCAAAUUGCCUUCUUGUCUUCUUCGACGUAGACGAGGAAGGUGUUGUUGACUC
Molecule: long non-coding RNA, 289 nt
Filed under: Glycine max (soybean)
Lineage: Eukaryota; Viridiplantae; Streptophyta; Magnoliopsida; Fabales; Fabaceae
Description: long non-coding RNA (GMAX_LNC003993)
Source: RNAcentral